Long non-coding RNA from Cryptomeria japonica (Japanese cedar), 1709 nucleotides. RefSeq lists it as uncharacterized. The record is from RefSeq and is a predicted model, not a curated record. The transcript has 3 exons. Lineage: Eukaryota; Viridiplantae; Streptophyta; Pinopsida; Cupressales; Cupressaceae.
AUUACAGGGGUGUGAAAGGAAGACCCGCCUCUUUAUCAUUGGUUGGGUGCGCUGCAGGGGAUGUGUGCCAUCGGUAAUGCCGAUUUCGUCAAUCGGUUCCUUGACCUUAACCCUUCGGUUCCUUCGGCGUAUACCCAAUACCAGUUUAGCAUAUCUCCUCAUCGAAUUUCCUUAAAAAUGCUAUAGUGCAUUUUCCUUAUCUGAAAGGAGGUGGAUGCACGCACAAGUUUCCUUUGGAAAAUGGGGUUUUACCACUCAUUAAAUACACGUAUUGUGGAUUAUGCUGUAAUGGAGCUGAUAGAAAAUGGUUUCAAAUGGAGUAACCAAACAUUCAGAUGGAGCAUACAGAAGAACUUUUGUAAUAUUUGCACUGCAAUCUCUUUAGAUUUGGUAGGGAUGGACGGUUCUGGUAAAAUUACACUUGCCAAACAAUUGAAUAUCAGUGGAAUCUCCUAUAUUUAUAGAUGCAGCUUUGGUUUUCUUGCGGGAGUUCUCUUUCUUACCAAGUAGCUCUUCUGUUGGCAUGCUUGGUUACAAUCCUAUAUGCCUCAAGGAUUUGAAGAUCUGGCUGAAGUUUCAAUGAGUUCUUCCUAUGGAUUACCUUUAUCUCUUAAGGUAUUAGGAGGGUAGACUUGGGUGACCUGGACAGGUUACUAGGAAUCUCAGCUAGAUAAGAUAUCUAGAAUAUUUGAGGUAUACAUUAAACAGAGGCCAAAAGUAAGCUGCAAUGCUAUGCACUGAGAAGAGUAGGAGAUUUUCUUAGACAUAGCUUGUUUUUUCAUUGAAAGGCAAAGAGUUUGGCAAUCUCUAUGGGGAAUGAUAUUAGCAUAAGAAUGCAUGAUCACCUCACCUUCUGUGAUCUGGGAAGAGAAAUUUCAAUUAUUAACUAUUAAAUUAUGGAUGAUCGGCAUUCGGGCACAAAUGGAGAUGUUUACCAAUGAGUGGAGACUGAUGAAGAGUAUUGCGAAUUUUGCAUUAAAGAUGAUUAAAAAGGUUUCAUUCAAUGUAGCCAAACAUCCUGUUGUCUCAAUGAAACUGUAAGAGACGUUGUAACUGCUACACUACAAACUCUGCAGAGUGGACAGAUUCUACAAAUUGUGGAAAUGGGACAUUGUGGUAAAAUGACAGUCGCUUAAAGCAUUAUGCGAUAGAAGAUGUUUCUCCAUCUACAGUUUCAGUCUUAAGUCUUAGUGCAUGGUGCUGCAUCCAAAAACACUUCAAAUAACUAGCAGAUAACUUGGAGUUGGAGGACCGUCAUGGCAUACUUUUUUCUAUUUAACAUUAUACAUUAAUGGAAGCCAUUUGAGAUCUAUUUGUCUGCUGAUAGUUCUGGAUGAUGUGGAUCACGAGACCCACUAGAUGCUCUGCUUCCAAAGACCAUCUCCCUUGGAAUGGAUGGUUUCAUUUUUGUCACAGCUCACGAAUUGGGUAUCUCCUUCAUUUAUAAAGUGCAGCUAUUCUUACAGCCCUAUUCACUCCAGGAAGCGGAGGAUCUCUUUGAAAUGAUUGAAAAAACAUGGUUUCGAGUGUAUUAAAUUCAAUAUAAUAGUAAAAGAGAGUUAUACUGGCCCACAAACUUUGCCUCUCUCAAUCUUUAUCAUUUGUUUUUACAAUCAUUAUGUUUAUGAUCUAUGACAGAGAAUAAGGAAUAGGUCUGUCGACUCAAAUAAAAGCUACUUUUACUAAUUGGUAGCUGUUCGUUUAUCUCA